GCUAUACAUGCAGUCGAGCGGACCGACGGGAGCUUGCUCCCUUAGGUCAGCGGCGGACGGGUGAGUAACACGUGGGUAACCUGCCUGUAAGACUGGGAUAACUCCGGGAAACCGGGGCUAAUACCGGAUGCUUGAUUGAACCGCAUGGUUCAAUCAUAAAAGGUGGCUUUUAGCUACCACUUGCAGAUGGACCCGCGGCGCAUUAGCUAGUUGGUGAGGUAACGGCUCACCAAGGCGACGAUGCGUAGCCGACCUGAGAGGGUGAUCGGCCACACUGGGACUGAGACACGGCCCAGACUCCUACGGGAGGCAGCAGUAGGGAAUCUUCCGCAAUGGACGAAAGUCUGACGGAGCAACGCCGCGUGAGUGAUGAAGGUUUUCGGAUCGUAAAACUCUGUUGUUAGGGAAGAACAAGUACCGUUCGAAUAGGGCGGUACCUUGACGGUACCUAACCAGAAAGCCACGGCUAACUACGUGCCAGCAGCCGCGGUAAUACGUAGGUGGCAAGCGUUGUCCGGAAUUAUUGGGCGUAAAGCGCGCGCAGGCGGUUUCUUAAGUCUGAUGUGAAAGCCCCCGGCUCAACCGGGGAGGGUCAUUGGAAACUGGGGAACUUGAGUGCAGAAGAGGAGAGUGGAAUUCCACGUGUAGCGGUGAAAUGCGUAGAGAUGUGGAGGAACACCAGUGGCGAAGGCGACUCUCUGGUCUGUAACUGACGCUGAGGCGCGAAAGCGUGGGGAGCGAACAGGAUUAGAUACCCUGGUAGUCCACGCCGUAAACGAUGAGUGCUAAGUGUUAGAGGGUUUCCGCCCUUUAGUGCUGCAGCAAACGCAUUAAGCACUCCGCCUGGGGAGUACGGUCGCAAGACUGAAACUCAAAGGAAUUGACGGGGGCCCGCACAAGCGGUGGAACAUGUGGUUUAAUUCGAAGCAACCCGAAAAACCUUACCAGGUCUUGACAUCCUCUGAAAACCCUAAAAAUAGGGCUUCCCCUUCGGGGGCAAAAUGACAGGGGGGGCAUGGUUGCC
Molecule: ribosomal RNA, 1024 nt
Filed under: bacterium
Lineage: Bacteria
Description: bacterial SSU rRNA
Rfam family: Bacterial small subunit ribosomal RNA
Source: RNAcentral